Molecule: ribosomal RNA, 441 nt
Filed under: Gracilibacteria bacterium canine oral taxon 364
Lineage: Bacteria; Candidatus Altimarinota
Description: bacterial SSU rRNA
Rfam family: Bacterial small subunit ribosomal RNA
Source: RNAcentral
GAGUUUGAUUCUGGCUCAGGGUGAACGCUAGCGGUGCGCCUAACACAUGCAAGUCGAGCGGGAGUGGAAGAGAAGCUUGCUUCUUUUUUACAAUAGCGGCGAACGGGUGAGUAACACGUUGGAACCUGCCCCCAAGUCAGGGAUAGCCUAGGGAAACCUGGGAUAAUACCGGAUAGUCUCUUUGGAGUAAAGAUUUAUUGCUUGGGGAGGGGCCUGCGAUCUAUCAGCUAGUUGGUGUGGUAAAGGCACACCAAGGCGAUGACGGAUAACUGGUCUGAGAGGAUGAUCAGUCACAAUGGAACUGAGACACGGUCCAUACUUCUACGGGAGGCAGCAGUGAGGAAUCUUCCACAAUGGACGAAAGUCUGAUGGAGCGACACCGCGUGAAGGAAGAAGGCCUAACGGUUGUAAACUUCUUUUCUGAAGGAGCAUAAUGAGAGU